GUCUCUGUGGCGCAGCUGGUCCGCGCGUUCGGCUGUUAACCGAAAGGUUGGUGGUUCGAACCCACCCAGGGGCG
Molecule: non-coding RNA, 74 nt
Organism: Hemiscyllium ocellatum (epaulette shark)
Lineage: Eukaryota; Metazoa; Chordata; Chondrichthyes; Orectolobiformes; Hemiscylliidae
Source: the annotation of a RefSeq genome assembly